Molecule: ribosomal RNA, 497 nt
Filed under: uncultured bacterium
Lineage: Bacteria
Description: partial 16S ribosomal RNA
Rfam family: Bacterial small subunit ribosomal RNA
Source: RNAcentral
GAUGAACGCUGGCGGCGUGCCUAAUACAUGCAAGUCGAGCGAACAGAUGAGGAGCUUACUCCUCUGACGUUAGCGGCGGACGGGUGAGUAACACGUGGAUAACCUACCUAUAAGACUGGGAUAACUUCGGGAAACCGGAGCUAAUACCGGAUAAUAUAUUGAACCGCAUGGUUCAAUAGUGAAAGACGGUUUUGCUGUCACUUAUAGAUGGAUCCGCGCCGCAUUAGCUAGUUGGUAAGGUAACGGCUUACCAAGGCAACGAUGCGUAGCCGACCUGAGAGGGUGAUCGGCCACACUGGAACUGAGACACGGUCCAGACUCCUACGGGAGGCAGCAGUAGGGAAUCUUCCGCAAUGGGCGAAAGCCUGACGGAGCAACGCCGCGUGAGUGAUGAAGGUCUUCGGAUCGUAAAACUCUGUUAUUAGGGAAGAACAAAUGUGUAAGUAGCUAUGCACGUCUUGACGGUACCUAAUCAGAAAGCCACGGCUAACUACGUG